Molecule: ribosomal RNA, 507 nt
Filed under: uncultured bacterium
Lineage: Bacteria
Description: partial 16S ribosomal RNA
Rfam family: Bacterial small subunit ribosomal RNA
Source: RNAcentral
ACUCAAAGGAAUAGACGGGGGCUCACACAAGCGGUGGAGCAUGUGGCUUAAUUCGAAGCAACGCGAAGAACCUGACCCGGGUUUGACAUGCAUGGAUUAGUUCUGUGAAAGCAGAAUGACGCGGCUUGCCGUGGAACAUGCACAGGUGCUGCAUGGCUGUCGUCAGCUCGUGUCGUGAGAUGUCGGGUUAAGUCCCCUAACGAGCGAAACCCCUGUCGCUAGUUGCCAGCGCGUAACGGCGGGCACUUUAGCGAGACUGCCGGUGUCAAACCGGAGGAAGGUGGGGACGACGUCAAGUCCUCAUGGCCUUUAUGCCCGGGGCUGCACACGUGCUACAAUGGGAUGGUACAGAGCGAUGCGAAACCGCGAGGUGGUGCAAAUCGCAGAAAACAUCCCUCAGUUCGGAUUGCAGGCUGCAACUCGCCUGCAUGAAGCUGGAAUCGCUAGUAAUCGCGCAUCAGCAAUGGCGCGGUGAAUAUGUUCCUGAGCCUUGUACACACCGCCCGU